UACGUAGGGGGCAAGCGUUAUCCGGAUUUACUGGGUGUAAAGGGAGCGCAGACGGAACUGCAAGUCUGAUGUGAAAGCCCGGGGCUCAACCGCGGGACUGCAUCGGAUACCGUGGAUCUGGAGUGCCGGAGGGGCAAGCGGAAUUCCUGGUGUAGCGGUGAAAUGCGUAGAUAUCAGGAGGAACACCGGCGGCGAAGGCGGCUUGCUGGACGGCAACUGACGUUGAGGCUCGAAAGCGUGGGGAGCAAACAGGAUUAGAUACCCUGGUA
RNAcentral lists this ribosomal RNA (269 nucleotides) under uncultured prokaryote. Its description in RNAcentral is "partial 16S ribosomal RNA". It matches the Rfam family "Bacterial small subunit ribosomal RNA", at positions 524 to 792 of the family's 1533-position model. The record is from RNAcentral.